This is a non-coding RNA of 153 nucleotides. It matches the Rfam family "HNH endonuclease-associated RNA and ORF (HEARO) RNA", at positions 1 to 155 of the family's 211-position model. The record is from Rfam.
GUCAACUACUCCCACUUAUAGAAGUGGGAGCUUGUAAAAGCUCGGUUGACUAGGCUAAGCAUUUAUUUGCUCCGUUAUAUUUGAUAUAGACACCAUAGAAUGAUACCCUAGUUCUAUGCAACUGUCGUGGCUCUGUAAACAGUCCUAAAGAGU